RNAcentral lists this ribosomal RNA (378 nucleotides) under uncultured bacterium. Its description in RNAcentral is "bacterial SSU rRNA". It matches the Rfam family "Bacterial small subunit ribosomal RNA", at positions 512 to 887 of the family's 1533-position model. The record is from RNAcentral.
CAGCCGCGGUAAUACGGGGGGUGCAAGCGUUAUUCGGAUUUAUUGGGCGUAAAGAGCGCGUAGGCGGUUUAUCAAGUCAGAUGUGAAAGCCCUGGGCUCAACCUGGGAAGUGCAUUUGAAACUAGUAGACUUGAGUAUGGGAGAGGGGAGUGGAAUUCCUGGUGUAGAGGUGAAAUUCGUAGAUAUCAGGAGGAACACCGGUGGCGAAGGCGACUUCCUGGACCAAUACUGACGCUGAGGCGCGAAGGCGUGGGGAGCAAACAGGAUUAGAUACCCUGGUAGUCCACGCAGUAAACGGUGAUCACURGGGUGUAGCGGGUAUUGACCCCUGCUGUGCCGCABUUMMSGCAUUAAGUGAUCCGCCUGGGGAGUACGAUC